ACGUAGGAGACGAGCGUUGUUCGGAAUUAUUGGGCGUAAAGGGUUCGUAGGAGGUUUAUUAAGAUUGGUGUGAAAUCCCAAGGCUCAACCUUGGAACUGCAUUGGUUACUGUUGAACUAGAGUGUCGAUGAGGAAAGCGGAAUUCCAGGUGUAGCGGUGAAAUGCAUAGAUAUCUCAAAGAACACCGACAGCGAAGGCAGCUUACUAAUCGAUGACUGACUCUGAGGAACGAAAGCGUGGGGAGCAAACAG
This 251-nucleotide ribosomal RNA is filed under the name uncultured prokaryote. Its description in RNAcentral is "partial 16S rRNA". It matches the Rfam family "Bacterial small subunit ribosomal RNA", at positions 525 to 775 of the family's 1533-position model. The record is from RNAcentral.